RNAcentral lists this long non-coding RNA (677 nucleotides) under Homo sapiens (human). RNAcentral describes it as "non-protein coding lnc-MRPL57-4:1". The record is from RNAcentral. Lineage: Eukaryota; Metazoa; Chordata; Mammalia; Primates; Hominidae.
GGAAAUCAGGAGAAAUAGGGAAAUCACGGCUGCGUGUGGUUUUCGUUUUGGGGGCUCAUGAAGCGGCCUGGGCCCUGUGACUCCUCCAGGGAUUCCACAUCCCAGGUGCUGCGGGACCUGCGGGGGCGAGAAAGCUGGGCCGGUGACAGGAGGGCGCAACCCACCCCAUCCCCCAGGGAAAGGGCUUCUCCCAGUUCCCCACCCUCCCAGCCCCCGCCCGGCCCAUUACCUCUUCUUCUUGUCUCUCUUGUCCAAGCCAGGGUCCCUGAGCAUGAGAAUGAGCUCCACUCUGGGGACUAUGCCCCUCCAGGCAGCUCUGUGGAGAUCGCCAAGAUCUUCCAGGCAGACGUCGUACCCAGGCUCCAGGAAGGCGCUGUCAUUGUGCUCGGCUCCACAGCCCACGCCGUCCUCGCUGCUCCUCCUUAUUCAAUUAUUAAAACUAGUGAAUAAAUUCAGCAAAGUUACAGCACAAAAUGUCAACACAUGGUAAUCUGUUGUAUUUCUAGACACUAGCAACAAACAUCAGAAUGUAAUGAUGAAAACGAUUCCAGGCAUGAACCACCAAACUUGGCCUACCAUUUACUGUUAUCAGAAAUUAAAACAAGUCAAUUCUUCUCUCUCACUUGCUGUCACUCUGAAUUAUUUGCUUACAGAAUAAACAUAACUUUGUGUCCAAA